Stegodyphus mimosarum is the source of this 73-nucleotide non-coding RNA. Lineage: Eukaryota; Metazoa; Arthropoda; Arachnida; Araneae; Eresidae. The record is from Rfam.
GCCUUCGUGGUGUAGUGGUCAGCACACUCGGCGCGUAUUGGAGAGGUCCGUGGUUCGAAUCCCGCCGAGGGCA